Molecule: ribosomal RNA, 372 nt
Filed under: uncultured organism
Description: partial 16S ribosomal RNA
Rfam family: Bacterial small subunit ribosomal RNA
Source: RNAcentral
GUAGGUGGCAAGCGUUGUCCGGAAUUAUUGGGCGUAAAGCGCGCGCAGGUGGUUCUUUAAGUCUGAUGUGAAAGCCCCCGGCUCAACCGGGGAGGGUCAUUGGAAACUGGGGAACUUGAGUGCAGGAGAGGAAAGUGGAAUUCCACGUGUAGCGGUGAAAUGCGUAGAUAUGUGGAGGAACACCAGUGGCGAAGGCGACUUUCUGGCCUGUAACUGACACUGAGGCGCGAAAGCGUGGGGAGCAAACAGGGAUUAGAUACCCUGGUAGUCCACGCCGUAAACGAUGAGUGCUAAGUGUUGGGUGGUUUCCGCCCCCUCAGUGCUGCAGCUAACGCAUUAAGCACUCCGCCUGGGAGUACGGUCGCAAGACUG